AUUAUGAUGACGACAAUGACGAUAGUGGCAAUCAUUUAUUAAGCAUUGCCCUGGCCUAAGGCACCACAUGGGUCAUUUCUUCCAGGCUCCAACUUGCUUCUGCUUUGCCAUAUGGUAACACGCCGUAUUAUGGAAGAACCAUCAUUACCGCCAUCUGCAGGGGAAGCCUAAAGAGGUGAUUUGAUAGUGUGGUUUCGGAUUACAGCCUGGCUUCCUGGGGUGAUCCAUCACAAGAAUAAAGAGUAUUGAUAAGGCCAAUGGGUGCACUUCCAGGUGCAAAUAAACAGCAUUGCAUCCAGUGGCUAUGCGUUGCAAGAAGCCAAGGGAGAAAGAGGAAAAAAAAAGACGACAACAACAACAUUAC
This 364-nucleotide long non-coding RNA is filed under the name Gorilla gorilla gorilla (western lowland gorilla). RNAcentral describes it as "lncRNA (ENSGGOG00000044238.1)". Lineage: Eukaryota; Metazoa; Chordata; Mammalia; Primates; Hominidae. The record is from RNAcentral.